RNAcentral lists this long non-coding RNA (1472 nucleotides) under Piliocolobus tephrosceles (Ugandan red Colobus). RNAcentral describes it as "lncRNA (ENSPTEG00000010545.1)". Lineage: Eukaryota; Metazoa; Chordata; Mammalia; Primates; Cercopithecidae. The record is from RNAcentral.
ACAUACGUACAUACGCAUGUAUAAAUAUUCACGUGUUUGCAUUUUUUUAUUCUCUUUGUGGCCAAUGUAGGAAUUUAUAUAAAACACUAUUUUUUUAAUUUUUCGUUUUCGUUUUUUUGUUUUUGUUUUUGUUUUUUUUUUUCGCUUCCGCUUUAUUUGUUGUACAAAAUAAAAAAAAAUAUAUAUUAUUCAUCAUUUUAUUCGAAAUGUUUCAUUGUUAAACAGUUUUUUAAAUGCCUAUUUUAAUCUCUUUUUUUUUUUUUUUUUUUUACUCCAAUAUGACACGUUAAAAAAAUAUAUUCCUUUUUUUAACACAUAUAUAUAUGUAUGUAUGUAUAUAUGUAUGUAUGUAUAUUAUAGAUAAAUAAAUGUGGAGAUUUUUAAGUACUAAAGUAAUAAGCACAUGCAGAUACAGAAUAAAUACAAGUUCCCACGCAUUUAAUAUUAAGCGUGUACAUUUUAAUAGUACAAAUAAUGAUAACUUAAAUAUAGAACAAGACUAUUUUUAUGUUAACCCAUUAAGAAAACUCAGUUGUAUUGGAUGUGGUGAGUUUCUUCAAACAACAGCCGUCAAUAAAACUGGUUAUGUUCCUAGUAGCAUUUAUGAAAAAUAUACAAAUGGUAGACUUAAAUUUUAUACAAAAGUGAAAGGAGAAGAAGUUAGCUCCAUUCCUGACGGUGUUAAGGUAGAUGUAAAUAAUUUUGUUAACUAUAGAGUUAAAACAAGAAUCAUAUUAUGCAAAAGAUGCUACAGGUUACAACAUUACAAAUGUAAUGAUAUGAAUUGCGAUGUUGACGUGAAUCGAAUACAAAAUAUUAUAAAAUGUAGGAAGCAAGUUCAAAAUGAUAUAAAAAUGAAAGUUGAAAAAGUAAAUGACAAGAGAAAUGAAAACUUAAAACAAGAAGGAGACAUAACAAAAAAUAAACAAACACAUCAUCUAUCAAAAAACGAAUUUAAGAAUACAUCUAGUAUGUCUGAUAUGAGCAGAAUGGUUGAUAAUAAUCAGUCACAAAUUAAACACGAAAGUAGUUCGAAAUAUAUGACUUUUAUUGAAAAAAAAAUAAAUAAAGCAUGUAAGAAAAAUAAAAAAGAAAGUGAAAUAGUAAAAGAGGAGGAAAACAAACGAAUAGAAACAGUAGAAGAUGGUAAAGAGAAUAGAAUAGAUGCUAGUUCGGACGUGAUAGUGAAAAAUGAUAAUGUUUUAGUAAACGUAAGUGAAAACAUGAAAAGAACAGAUAAUAAUAAUGGGUUAUCUCCGAAACGAAUCGAAACAAACGCAGAGCGUAGUGGAAGUAAUGAAAAAGCUGAACAAUACUACCAAGAUGACAACUACAACAUCGAUAAAAGGAGCGUAAACGUAUAUGAAAAAAAAGAUGUUAUAAAAAAACGAAAUAACAUAAAAAGGCUAGACAUGGAAAAAAUGCUAAUAAGUACAGCUAAAUACGUAGAGGGUGAUCGUAACAAUAUUAUG